UGGGGAAUCUUGCACAAUGGGGGAAACCCUGAUGCAGCGACGCCGCGUGAGCGAUGAAGCCCUUCGGGGUGUAAAGCUCUUUCGGCAGGGAAGAUGAUGACGGUACCUGCAGAAGCAGCUGCGGCUAACUACGUGCCGGCAGCCGCGGUAAUACGUAGGCAGCAAGCGUUGUUCGGAGUUACUGGGCGUAAAGGGUGUGUAGGCGGUUCUUUAAGUUUGGUGUGAAAUCUCCCGGCUCAACUGGGAGGGUGCGCCGAAUACUGAGGGACUCGAGUGCGGGAGAGGAAAGUGGAAUUCCUGGUGUAGCGGUGAAAUGCGUAGAUAUCAGGAGGAACACCGGUGGUGUAAACGGCUUUCUGGACCGUAACUGACGCUGAGACACGAAAGCGUGGGUAGCAAACA
This 402-nucleotide ribosomal RNA is filed under the name uncultured bacterium. Its description in RNAcentral is "bacterial SSU rRNA". It matches the Rfam family "Bacterial small subunit ribosomal RNA", at positions 355 to 774 of the family's 1533-position model. The record is from RNAcentral.